This 253-nucleotide ribosomal RNA is filed under the name uncultured bacterium. RNAcentral describes it as "partial 16S ribosomal RNA". It matches the Rfam family "Bacterial small subunit ribosomal RNA", at positions 524 to 776 of the family's 1533-position model. The record is from RNAcentral.
UACGGGGGGGGCAAGCGUUGUUCGGAAUUACUGGGCGUAAAGGGCUCGUAGGCGGCCAACUAAGUCGGAUGUGAAAUCCCCAGGCUUAACCUGGGAACUGCAUCCGAUACUGGAUGGCUUGAAUCCGGGAGAGGAAUGCGGAAUUCCAGGUGUAGCGGUGAAAUGCGUAGAUAUCUGGAGGAACACCGGUGGCGAAGGCGGCAUUCUGGACUGUAACUGACACUGAGGAACGAAAGCCAGGGGAGCAAACGGG